GACGUAGGGCGCGAGCGUUGUCCGGAUUUUAUUUGGGCGUAAAGAGCUCGUAGGCGGCUCGUUGCGUCAAUCGUGAAAACCUACUGCUUAACGGUGGGCUUGCGGUUUGAUACGGGCGGGCUGGAGUUCGGUAGGGGAGACUGGAAUUCCUGGUGUAGCGGUGAAAUGCGCAGAUAUCAGGAGGAACACCGAUGGCGAAGGCAGGUCUCUGGGCAUUAACUGACGCUGAGGAGCGAAAGCAUGGGGAGCGAACAGG
This 256-nucleotide ribosomal RNA is filed under the name uncultured bacterium. RNAcentral describes it as "partial 16S ribosomal RNA". It matches the Rfam family "Bacterial small subunit ribosomal RNA", at positions 524 to 776 of the family's 1533-position model. The record is from RNAcentral.